AGUUCAGGGCUGCUGUGGACUAUGCAGUGUCCACACUACGUUCAGCAUCAGUAUGGCAAGCCGAGGUAUGCCAGAUUGCCCAAGGAGAAGUGAACUGGUCCUGGUUGGAUACGGAGCAGGUAAAAACUCCCGUGCCAAUCAGUAGUGGGGACUGCGCUUGUGAAUAGCUGCUGUAACAUUACCUGGGCA
This is a non-coding RNA of Podarcis lilfordi (Lilford's wall lizard), 189 nucleotides long. The record is from the annotation of a GenBank genome assembly. NCBI's taxonomy places the organism in Eukaryota, Metazoa, Chordata, Lepidosauria, Squamata, Lacertidae.